RNAcentral lists this ribosomal RNA (159 nucleotides) under uncultured bacterium. Its description in RNAcentral is "partial 16S ribosomal RNA". It matches the Rfam family "Bacterial small subunit ribosomal RNA", at positions 356 to 507 of the family's 1533-position model. The record is from RNAcentral.
GGGGAAUAUUGGACAAUGGGCGAAAGCCUGAUCCAGCAACGCCGCGUGUGUGAAGAAGGCCCUAGGGUUGUAAAGCACUUUCAGUGGGGAAGAAAAGCAGGGCGCUAUUAUCGCUCUGUGAUGACGUUACCCACAGAAGAAGCACCGGCUAACUCCGUG